RNAcentral lists this ribosomal RNA (253 nucleotides) under uncultured bacterium. RNAcentral describes it as "partial 16S ribosomal RNA". It matches the Rfam family "Bacterial small subunit ribosomal RNA", at positions 524 to 776 of the family's 1533-position model. The record is from RNAcentral.
UACGGAGGGGGCUAGCGUUGUUCGGAAUUACUGGGCGUAAAGCGCGCGUAGGCGGCUUUGUAAGUUAGAGGUGAAAGCCCGGAGCUCAACUCCGGAACUGCCUUUAAGACUGCAUCGCUAGAAUUGUGGAGAGGUGAGUGGAAUUCCGAGUGUAGAGGUGAAAUUCGUAGAUAUUCGCAAGAACACCAGUGGCGAAGGCGGCUCACUGGCCCGGUACUGACGCUGAGGUGCGAAAGCGUGGGGAGCAAACAGG